UACGAAGGGUGCAAGCGUUAAUCGGAAUUACUGGGCGUAAAGCGCGCGUAGGUGGUUCAGCAAGUUGGAUGUGAAAGCCCCUGGGCUCAACCGUGGGAACUGCAGUCCAAAACUACUGAGCUAGAGUACGGUAGAGGGUAGUGGAAUUUCCUGUGUAGCGGUGAAAUGCGUAGAUAUAGGAAGGAACACCAGUGGGCGAAAGGCGACGUACCUGGACUGAUACUGACACUGAGGUGCG
This 238-nucleotide ribosomal RNA is filed under the name uncultured bacterium. RNAcentral's name for it is "partial 16S ribosomal RNA". It matches the Rfam family "Bacterial small subunit ribosomal RNA", at positions 524 to 755 of the family's 1533-position model. The record is from RNAcentral.